Molecule: ribosomal RNA, 766 nt
Filed under: Escherichia coli
Lineage: Bacteria; Pseudomonadati; Pseudomonadota; Gammaproteobacteria; Enterobacterales; Enterobacteriaceae
Description: bacterial SSU rRNA
Rfam family: Bacterial small subunit ribosomal RNA
Source: RNAcentral
GAGCAAACAGGAUUAGAUACCCUGGUAGUCCACGCCGUAAACGAUGUCGACUUGGAGGUUGUGCCCUUGAGGCGUGGCUUCCGGAGCUAACGCGUUAAGUCGACCGCCUGGGGAGUACGGCCGCAAGGUUAAAACUCAAAUGAAUUGACGGGGGCCCGCACAAGCGGUGGAGCAUGUGGUUUAAUUCGAUGCAACGCGAAGAACCUUACCUGGUCUUGACAUCCACGGAAGUUUUCAGAGAUGAGAAUGUGCCUUCGGGAACCGUGAGACAGGUGCUGCAUGGCUGUCGUCAGCUCGUGUUGUGAAAUGUUGGGUUAAGUCCCGCAACGAGCGCAACCCUUAUCCUUUGUUGCCAGCGGUCCGGCCGGGAACUCAAAGGAGACUGCCAGUGAUAAACUGGAGGAAGGUGGGGAUGACGUCAAGUCAUCAUGGCCCUUACGACCAGGGCUACACACGUGCUACAAUGGCGCAUACAAAGAGAAGCGACCUCGCGAGAGCAAGCGGACCUCAUAAAGUGCGUCGUAGUCCGGAUUGGAGUCUGCAACUCGACUCCAUGAAGUCGGAAUCGCUAGUAAUCGUGGAUCAGAAUGCCACGGUGAAUACGUUCCCGGGCCUUGUACACACCGCCCGUCACACCAUGGGAGUGGGUUGCAAAAGAAGUAGGUAGCUUAACCUUCGGGAGGGCGCUUACCACUUUGUGAUUCAUGACUGGGGUGAAGUCGUAACAAGGUAACCGUAGGGGAACCUGCGGUUGGAUCACCUCCUU